Long non-coding RNA from Myotis myotis, 967 nucleotides. RefSeq lists it as uncharacterized. NCBI's taxonomy places the organism in Eukaryota, Metazoa, Chordata, Mammalia, Chiroptera, Vespertilionidae. The transcript has 3 exons. The record is from RefSeq and is a predicted model, not a curated record.
GUUACACGAGCACGGGUUCCCUGCGUUUAGUUUCAUUCUAAGUAACGAAGUUCCAACCGUAAGCUGCACGAGCAACGAGGAAGCGCUGAAAUUUUGGGCCAGGAAACCUCGGUUCUUUAUCCACUCUACGGGAACCAACACCGUCGCGGCCGCCAUCUUCCCCUCACUACUAGCAGGAGCCCGGAUGUGUAGCAUGCGAGCGAGGGGUCAAAGUGAAGCCCCGCCCACUAAGAAUGCCGGGAACUGCGAGUUAGCUAUUCGUUUUCCCGCCCCAGUCAGUCAUCUCCGUCCCGGGGAAGCCCGAGGCCCGUGGCCAACGACGUCGCCCAAACCCGUGGGUCCCUUCGCAGUGACGUCGCGGGCCGCGCCUUCCGCCACCCUAGCCCUCGCUUCCCUUUCCCCAGGCCAAUUCCUAGCCCUUAUCUUCUUCCUUCCGUAGUCUCAACACCAGGCAACUAAUUCAAACAUGUAUCUCUAAAGUACCUAAUAUGUGCUAGACACUGGGAAUAGAAAAACAAUAAACCAUGAUGCCCAUGAUUAACAAGUUUGCCAUUUGUGGGAAAGAGAAACAUAUAAGCAGGCCAAUUACAAAUCCUUGCUACAUGCUGAGGUAAAGAAAUUACUCAGGGAAAGUGUAGCCAUUUACUGUGUCAAACAUGCUGUUACAGGGAAUACAAUAUAACGAGUAAAAGAGAAAUCAGCCCUGGGAACACUUGAAGCCCCUGUGCCACCAACACUACUGUCUCCCGUGUCAUUGUCACCUUAGGCAAAACUAGGGAAUGCAAGUACCAUGAGAAAACAACUUGCUUACAUUGCCACUAACAAAGUAUCUCCCACUAAACCCUAACCAGCUGGAUAGCUCCCUGGGUUCGAAAAUCGUCUGGAUAUCCCAAGGUUCUGGAUUUGAUCCUGGGUCAGAGCAGAUGUAAAAAUCAACCAAUAAAUGCAUGAAUAUGUGGAACAACAA